UUAUUAAUAAAAAAAGCCCUAACUUUUAAUUUAACUUUUUUCCCCCAAAUUUCUCUUCUCCCCCAAUCUUCUGUCUGCCGCGCGGUAAGCUUGUUCGACAUCGUCUCUUCCGUCUGCGUGGUGUUCAUCAUCGCUCGCAAGUCGUCGCCACCUCUUCUGUCUGCGUGUCGUUUCGUCGUUGCUCAUGGUUGCUCGUGUUCACCGUCGCUCGUUGCUCGUGGUUGCGCGUUCUGUUCGUGGUCGCUCGCAAGCCGUCGUCGCGCGUUCUGUUCCGUCUGCACAUGUUCGUUGUCGCUCGCAAGCAGCCGCCGCCUCUUCCGUCUGCGCAGGUUCGUCUGCCGCCGCCGUUCAGAAGCCACCUCUUCCAUCUGCACAGGUUAAAUUACUUCAUACUUCUGACGUUCAGAAGCCACCGCGCGUUCUACAGCUUGCUUGCUUUUAAUGGAUUAUAAUCUCUCUGAGUUGGUAUAUGCUUCUUUGUUUUGAAGGUCAACAAGAUUACAGUAGACUUAGACCUUGGUGGCAAUACAAGCAUGUUCAACAUAUUCAUAUCAAAUAACUACAUUGAAAAAAAAUAUUUUGCUAGAAUCCAUUGGAGCAGUGAAGCCAUGUUUGCAGCAAUUGAUUGAUUUAUAGGUCUUUUUGUAGGUUUGGUAGCCAAAUUUUGGUUCAAAUGUAUUUAUUUAAAUAGCUUGUUCAUUACUUUAUUGUAGAAACACUUUAUGACGAACAAUUGUACAUAUAUUAAAGUAUAUAUAUUAAUGCGUUCACCAUUUCUUUCCA
Cucumis melo (muskmelon) is the source of this 783-nucleotide RNA transcript. RefSeq lists it as uncharacterized. NCBI's taxonomy places the organism in Eukaryota, Viridiplantae, Streptophyta, Magnoliopsida, Cucurbitales, Cucurbitaceae. The record is from RefSeq and is a predicted model, not a curated record. The transcript is spliced from 4 exons.